CCAAGGAGUCUAACACGUGCGCAAGUUGUAGGGUUUUCCACAAAGCCCGAAGGCGCAAUGAAAGUGAACCCUAGGCGGGAUCCCGUCACCCCUAUCCAGUCCUCAUCGGUUAUCAUUACCGGCUGUGGCAUUUAAAAAGGGGUCGGGCGCACCGCCGGCCCGUCUCGUUCGGUCGGUCGUCGGCAUCUCCAGGGGCGUUGUCGGUCGACGGAGGCGGAGCGAGAGCGUAUACGUUAGGACCCGAAAGACGGUGAACUAUUCCCGGACAGGACGAAGCCGGAGGAAACUCCGGUGGAGGUCCGCAGCGAUUCUGACGUGCAAAUCGAUCGUCGGAUCCGGGUAUAGGGGCGAAA
This 353-nucleotide ribosomal RNA is filed under the name Metaperipatus inae. RNAcentral describes it as "eukaryotic LSU rRNA". It matches the Rfam family "Eukaryotic large subunit ribosomal RNA", at positions 666 to 928 of the family's 3401-position model. The record is from RNAcentral. Lineage: Eukaryota; Metazoa; Onychophora; Udeonychophora; Euonychophora; Peripatopsidae.